UACUUCGAAGGGGCUGGUUUCAGUAGGUACUGAUGACUUGUCUCGUCAAAAUUGUACGAGGGAGAAUGGGGGAGAAAAGUGUAACCUCCUUAACCUCCUAGUAGAAACCCCGGAGUUAAACAAAGACUCCGUGAACGCAGACUAUUGGGGGGUAACUUCUAUGCUAAAUAAUUGUUGUGGCUGGGACGACCUUAACUAGUAGUUUAACGAGUUGAUCCCCUCCUUUAAUUUAGAUGAGAACAUUAAGAUUAGAGAUUCUCACCACCAUGUGGACUUUGGGCCUUACCAGAUGAUCUUCUUGUUUUCCGGAAGUCUCUACGACCUGACCUAAAAAGUUUUGUCUACGACUACGGUAGGAUAGUCCCAACACUCGCCGUGAUGGUAUGACGUUCCCCAGACCUUGCGCCCAUAAAACCUUGCCGUUGAAGUGGUAGAUAUACCGGUAUGUUCAGGGGUGUAUUGUUCAGUCGUACCCAAGUCUAUUGAAACUUUUGUCUAAGUCGUUUCCGUGUAUCCCCCGUAGUUCAAUAAAACCGACGUUGUCGUUCUGGGACGGUACGGUUCAGGAACCUCCGUAUACCAAAGCAUCCCAGGUAGUACGGCGGAUACGACACGAACGCGUGUAGCACAGGCGUAUACGAGGCCUCGGCACUGAGGAGGUAGCCGCGGUGACCGAUAGGGUUCAUGAGCGGAAGAGGAGGAGGGUGGUACUGAUGCCAACUUGUUAGCUCCUCCGGCUCCCUACUGAUAUAACCCCAGCACUACCUAACCGACUACCUACACUAACUACUCAAGUUUGAAGACCGACUGUGUGAAAUGGAAGACUAAGUAUAUAACCGGUUAAGGAGCGUCGCCCUGUUCAACUCAAAGAACCACAGCGAAGUAAUGAACAACGACAAAACGGGUACAACGUUCUAGAAUCCUGGAGAGUACAAACCCUAAGGAGGAAAGAUGAAACAAUCUUAUGUUAACGUCCUUAGUGUCGUUCGUCCUGAUCCAUCAACAGGCCGUUCUGGCCGGCGUCUCCACUUUGACUCGUCGUGGCAUCAACCAGCAUUGGAUGUCUCGCGGGCGCAGGUCGUGUUUUCCUCUAGGUCCUUCCUCCGCUCAGACAGGGUGCCGCAGCGACAGGUCUCCUCGUGUAUACUAGGAGUAUUAUCGUACAAACAUUACUUAAGACCUUGGUUAGCCCUCUAAUUUUAGUCGUUUCGUAUAAGUAGGCAGGUCGAUCGGGUGGGUUUAGGGAGUGAGGGGCGCACGCAGAGGAGAAGGAAGGGAGUGCAGCGGCGGCCGGGUAUAGCUUCUGUCUCUCUUUCUCGUCCCGUGAGUGCGUUGGGAAAGAGUGACGGCCGAGCAGAGGGGAGGGUGGAGUCGCGGCGACGGAGACAGACGAGGCGGAGUGAGAGGAGGCAGGGAGUCGCGCGGUGCGGUAGAGGUGUCCCAGGUCGGAGGUGGCUUCGGCUAGAGAGGCGACUCGUGCGGGGCGUGGCGGCAACGACAGCACCCGAGGAGCCGUGGCGACGUCUGCCCCUCCGCCGGACACCCUCCCGGGAUUUACACCGGCUGCUGAGGUAGGGGCGAGCGUACACCGCCGCCGGUCGGGUCGAGGCGGAGAAGGCUGGGUAGAAGAACCCGUAGUAACCAUCACUUCCUCCUGAGAACGUCCACGAUGCACUGAAGUGACCAGCGCAAUAACUGACCCUAAAGCUCAUGCUGUUGAAGUGUUUUUUACAAAGUUUAAAAUAGGGUGAACUAAAGGUCAAACUUGAAACCAGCUUCUUGAACCAAUAAGAACAAGACUAACAACUGUGUAGAAGCGGCGCCUCGAGCUUCCGACGAUGAUAAUGAAGAACGCGGUAAUAAACCGUUGCAUGACGACGCCACAGGUCUCUACUGUGGUAAUCAAACCAACACCGCGGUUGACCGAUAGAGCUGUUGUAACUGCGACUUCAAUAGCUCGGAGGCUUCUUACCCUACGGUUCCCAAGUAUUAACAGCAGGUUGAACGUCGUCACUUAACCCAUUGUAUUCUACGGAACGAAACCUCUUCCAACCGCGGAGAGAUCUCCAAGACAUU
RNAcentral lists this ribosomal RNA (2076 nucleotides) under Triticum aestivum (bread wheat). RNAcentral's name for it is "partial small subunit ribosomal RNA". Lineage: Eukaryota; Viridiplantae; Streptophyta; Magnoliopsida; Poales; Poaceae. The record is from RNAcentral.